AGUUUCCUCUUAUCAGCACCAAAUAGCAAUUCAUUCAUAGGGAUGGGUUUUUCAAAAGAUGGUAAAAUGGUAGGUUCAAGUGCAAUUGUUGGAUGGAUAAGCAACGAUGGGUCUUCCACCAUGAAAAGGUAUUAUCUAGGUGGACAAUCAUCGGCACAAGUUGUACCAGAUGAAGGGAAUCUUCAAUUGGUGAAUAUGACAUCUUCUAUUAUAGCUGAAAAUUCAAGGAUUUAUAUGGCUUUUCAAUUGAGCACCGCAGUAACACCCACAAAUCGACUUAUUUACUCCCUCGGGCCUAACGGACGCCUACCAUCACCCAUCAAUUAUCAGUUGUCACAACAUCGCGCACAUAUCUCCACCUUCUUUGAUUAUAACUCAGGUGAAAGUAAAUCAAAGAUCCCUUAUGCAAAUCUUAGGAGUAGUCAUGGAGUGUUGAAUAUGUUGAGCUGGGGUAUUUUGAUACCAAUU
Molecule: unclassified non-coding RNA, 468 nt
Filed under: Hevea brasiliensis (rubber tree)
Lineage: Eukaryota; Viridiplantae; Streptophyta; Magnoliopsida; Malpighiales; Euphorbiaceae
Source: RNAcentral